GCAGGGUCUGAUCUCUGCACCCCGGGCCCCCGCGCAGACCCGCGGACGAGCGCUGGGUGGGGAUUUCAACCUGCUCCAGCUGAUGUGCGCGGGGUUUGCACCCCGGGGAGGCGAGGGAGAGAGUCCGGCCACGUCCUGCCAGGCCCCGCCCGCGCCCCCGCUGCCCUCCAGCGCGGAACCCAGGUCCCAGGAGACGCGAGGCGCCCAAGGCCCCGGGAUUCCGAGCCAGUCAACCCCGGGCCGCGACGCUCUGGGAACCACACCCGUCCAGGAAGGCACCUUGGCCAAAGCCGGCUCCUUCGCAGAUGACCCGGGCCAGGGUCCGAGCGCCAGGCUGUGACCCCGCGAGGCUGUUCCACGCUGGCCGCGAGAGACGGAGGGCAGGAGGGGCCCGAAUAGGACAGAGAGAGAGAGAGAGAGAGACAGAAGGAGGCGCACGCGCUCCCCAGGGACCGGGACGCGGUGGUGGGCGGGACCUCGCGGGGGUGGGGGGUGGUCGCAGGACCCAGAAGGCUCAGGACCUUUACGGAUAGGGAGGACCCCGCAGGGGGGAGCGGGGGAGCCCCACGCCCGGCGUCCUCCGGGUGCGAGGGUCUCGGGGAGUCCGAGCCCGGGCCCACGGCCUCUGUCCCGCGGCCACUACCUGCUGGGGGUCCCGGGCCUGGGCCACGCCGGGCUGCCCUCGGGGACUUGCUGCGGCCGUUGAGGGGUCUCCGCGCGCCGCGCAGACUCGCCUCCCAACCCGAGGGCCCGGGCGGCCGCCGCCCAGAGCGUCCAGCGGCAGCGUCUUGCUCUCGAAGGCGUCCUCCACGCAGCGGAACACGCAGCCAAGCUUGGGCCGGGCCAGAGGCCUCGCGGGCUCCUGAGGCUGCCGCGCGGUCACGGCAGGAGCGGGCGACAGAAUCCGGUCUCGGAGCCUCCUGUAGCGAGGUCUGCGCGGCAGGUGCACUGGGCGGACCUGGAGGCCGCGCCCUCCCCCCCCGCCUCCUGCCGCCCGGCAGCGCUGCGCGGAGCUGGCUCUGUCCACGUAGCGGGUGCUGAACGCCCCAUUCUGGCCCCUGGGUGCUCGCUUAGUCCCGGCCACGCGUGGCUGCUCGCCCUCGGGACACACUGGGCGCUGGGAAGGCCGGGCGGGGAGCGCGCACCGGAGAAACCGCUGUGGGAAUCCCGGCCACAUUUCCAGGCCCCUUGGGCCGUCCCACGCCAGACAAGAAAGCCCUGACUCCGAAACCCUGGGCGAGUGUGGAGGGCGCGCGGGGGUGGGGUGUACCCGCCCACGCAAACUGCUGCUGAUCUCCCUUAAAGCCGAGUUAGAGGCUUGGGGCGAGACAGGAGUGACGGGCGAUGCUGUCACUCCAUCUGUCAUUCUACCCAGCCUGCAGCAGCUGAAUUCGAACCCAGAGACUUCAGGCCUUUGCGUUGUUACCGCAGUCCGCAUUUCAAAGCCAGAGUUUGGCCACUGAGUCACCAUGACCUCGAGUACUGGCGGGGCCCGAGCCAGCAGAGCUAGCCACAGGAGGGAGCCUCCCAGGUGGUCGACCGGAGCCAGGUGCUGCCAGGCACCCGACUGCAGAGCUUGCCCUCCAGGUGAUCUCGCAGUAUCGGUGUUCACAAGCCCUGUAAGGCACUCGGGGUAUCCUGAAGGCUACAGAUUCUGCAAGGGCAGAGACUUUAAGGAACAGCCAUAGUCCUUCUCCAGCUCAAAAUCUGGACCAUGGGCACAAGGUUGUCCCGGAACCAUCGAUCUCUAGAAGGUACAGGAGGAAGGGGACCUGCCAGUCCAGCCCUCAUAUUUUACAGAGGGAAAAGGUCGGGGCCCCCAGCCCCACGGGCACGAAGGCACCAGAACCUCGCUAAAAGCUGCAGGGCAGAACCCUCAUCAAUACCACCAUGGGUACCACGUGCAGACGUAGUCGUACAUAUGGAUCAGGAAACAGCAUUCUGAUUGAUGUCAAAACAGAGCCGGAGGAACAGGCCCCUGCCGUCUGUGUGUGCUGGAAAUUUCCACUGGGAUCUCAACUGUUUGGAAACAUAACUCAGUUGGCAAGGAAGACAAGAACCUUCCUGGGGUCCGGAACUCUGCCUGCUUCAGAAUCAACAGAUGAUGAAUGCCACUGGAAGGCUCGGGACCUACAGCCUCAGUUUCCAAAAAUGUGCAUGAGACAAGCAACCCCAGGGUUCUCACACAGGGUGAGCCGCUUGGGAGGGGGUGAGACCCUGCAGUCUGGAUCCUUGCUCUUCCCCAACACCGCCCCACAAAUACACAGAUUCCCAGCUGAUAGGACAUGGAGUGAGGGCCAAGCACAGGACCUUUCCCCAUAUGCUCUUUUGUCUGAGAAACUUUAGCCAAACAUUUUCAAACCAAACAGAAACAAAUGGCAGCCACUAACUCUGCUCACAGUCAAGGUAUUUUUUUCUUGAAGCUCUGAUUUGGGGAAAAUAUGAAACAGACCUUACCCAGACACAGGCUGUGCCUCCUCCUCCCUCUUCCUCCUCUACCCCCUUCAUGGGGUCUCUCUCAACUCUACAGAGGGGACCAGUGCUGUUAUCAACUCCCUGUCUGCCCAGGGCCGCCUCUGAGGUCAUCCUCUCCCCAGCCACCACGGCGGAGCCCCAUGUGGCUCACACGGAUGCUGGAAUGGUCCUCCCAUCCUGGGACAGUCCUCAGGCACGUGGUGCUCUGCUCUGGGUCACCCUCCUACUGAUUUUGGCUCUACAGCUCCCUAAUAAAUAAUAAAGGCAGAAGCCACUUUGAUGGUGCAGGUGGCAGGUGGGACAGUGAAGUGGGUGCACAGAAGCGGGUGCACAGGAGCAGGUUCACACACAACCAAAUGCACAGUGUGCACAGACACACACACUACCCAGGGCACAAGAGCAGGUGCACACAUACACGCACACUACCCAGGGCACAGGAGCAGGUGCACACACACAACCAAAUGCACAGUGUGCACACACACGCACUACCCAGGGCACAAGAGCAGGUGCACACACACGCACACUACCCAGGGCACAGGAGCAGGUGCGCACGCACAACCAAAUGCACAGUGUGCACACACACGCACACUACCCAGGACACAGGAGCAGGUGCACACACACCACCAAAUGCAGUGUGCACACACACACACUACCCAGGGCACAAGAGCAGAUGCACACACACCACGGCCAAAUGCACAGUGUGGACACACACACGCACACUACCCAGGACACAGGAGCAAGUGUAUACACACCAUGGCCAAAUGCACAGUGUGCACAGACAUGCACCCUACCCAGGGCACAGGAGCAGGUGCGCACACACGACCAAAUGCACAGUGUGCACACACACACACACUACCCAGGGCACAGGAGCAGGUGUAUACACACCACGACCAAAUGCACAGUGUGCACACACACAUGCACACUACCCAGGGCACAGGAGCAAGUGUAUACACACCAUGACCAAAUGCACAGGCACACUCCCCCCACACACUGGCAUGUGUGCACACACGUGCGCACACUUUCUGCCUGUUCUCCAUGGGUUCCUGGUUUCAUUUUGUAUCUGGUGGCGGCAGCUGUUCUCACAGGCCUCCACAGCGAUGCCCAGCUACCCUUUCUGAAAUCGGCUUCUCUAAUAAUGACAUCCCCUAUUAACGGCCCCAUGGCCAGGCUAGUAAAAGGAUCCAUUAUUGCUUUAACCAAGAUGGUUGCAUUAUAGAUUGCAAGACAGCUGGCCCGCAGGCUGUAAGCUGCUGGCUGAAAAGAAUAAAUUAGACAAUAGAGCAAUAAAGCGGGGAGGGGGACUCAUGGUUUCAAGUCAGUCGUUCAGUUUCUGAGAUUUUGUGCAAAUCACCCAGUAACAUUUGAGAAACACCUUCGCCCUUGGUAAAAACAGAAAGAUUCUAAACAAAGAGCAAAGAGAAAUAGCUCCAAAGCCAAUAGGAACCAGAAAAGAGGUUGGCAUCAUCUCCCAAAGUCGAAGAUUCCAACUCCUAAUGUGACCCAUGAGGAGUCGCGGCACCAGCGCAUCCGGAGACUCCACAGGAAUGUUCAAGAAGCAGCACUCGUAACAAGCAGAAGCCUGGAAAUAACCAAAUGUCCACCAGAGGGGAGGUAAAGCCCCAGCACGAGGUCACAGAUUGGAGGGUGCACAUGGCUGAAUCCCUGCAGAGUGAUUCCAAGCACAAACACCCAAAAAAAUGCCCGUUAACAAAGAUUUCAAACACAAUUAAAGAGUCUGCCUUUUGGAAA
Molecule: long non-coding RNA, 4224 nt
Filed under: Homo sapiens (human)
Lineage: Eukaryota; Metazoa; Chordata; Mammalia; Primates; Hominidae
Description: JAKMIP3 antisense RNA 1, transcript variant 3 (JAKMIP3-AS1)
Source: RNAcentral